AUUGAACGCUGGCGGCAGGCCUAACACAUGCAAGUCGAGCGGAUGAAGGGAGCUUGCUCCUGGAUUCAGCGGCGGACGGGUGAGUAAUGCCUAGGAAUCUGCCUGGUAGUGGGGGAUAACGUCCGGAAACGGGCGCUAAUACCGCAUACGUCCUGAGGGAGAAAGUGGGGGAUCUUCGGACCUCACGCUAUCAGAUGAGCCUAGGUCGGAUUAGCUAGUUGGUGGGGUAAAGGCCUACCAAGGCGACGAUCCGUAACUGGUCUGAGAGGAUGAUCAGUCACACUGGAACUGAGACACGGUCCAGACUCCUACGGGAGGCAGCAGUGGGGAAUAUUGGACAAUGGGCGAAAGCCUGAUCCAGCCAGGCCGCGGGUGUGAAGAAGGUCUUCGGAUUGUAAAGCACUUUAAGUUGGGAGGAAGGGCAGUAAGUUAAUACCUUGCUGUUUUGACGUUACCAACAGAAUAAGCACCGGCUAACUUCGU
Molecule: ribosomal RNA, 483 nt
Filed under: uncultured bacterium
Lineage: Bacteria
Description: partial 16S ribosomal RNA
Rfam family: Bacterial small subunit ribosomal RNA
Source: RNAcentral